CAACUUUUAGGAAGAGGACUUGAUUGGUAGAAGGAAGCCAGCCUUGCUAUUCAGGCAGUGGUCCAUGUAAUGGUGAGCCAUUUCUCAUUGGAUUUAAUAUGACUUCCCACAAGCUGCAAGCCAAGCAAUGCCAAGCCACUAUGACCAAGAAGCUGAUUGCUACAGGCUGGCCAGAAAGGGAGACAGUGACUAAGGAGCUCAGAGUUUGGAGAGAGAACCUUUUAAUACUUGUCAGUGCCUGCUUCAAGUCCCUAGCCAACCAUUCCCAUGAUUAAAUGACAGAACAGGUCUAUUUACCAGUUCCAGAGCUAGAUGAUGAGGAUGGUGAUGAGGAAUAUUGCAAGCAAAAUAUGUUGAGAUGAUCCAGGAUGAAGUCUUUUUCAUGCCCUCGUGGAUGGCAGUCAGCAUUGGGCUUUUCACAUGCUAAGCAGGAGUUUGUUAUUUCAUCUUCAAGAAUAUUUGCUCAGUUUAGGUAUGGACUGAAUGAAUGGUUAAUUUGAAGGAAAAAAGGCACUGAAGUACAACCAUGAUGACUUCAUAGAAUCAUAGAGCAGUUAGGGCCAGAAGGAAACCUAAAAUUCA
RNAcentral lists this long non-coding RNA (582 nucleotides) under Serinus canaria (Common canary). RNAcentral's name for it is "lncRNA (ENSSCAG00000001518.1)". The record is from RNAcentral. Lineage: Eukaryota; Metazoa; Chordata; Aves; Passeriformes; Fringillidae.